GGUAGUAGCAAGUAUUCAAAUGAGAACUUUAAAGACUGAAGUGGAGAAAGGUUCCAUGUGAACAGCAAUUGGACAUGGGUUAGUCAAUCCUAAGAGAUGGGGAAAUCCUGUAUGAAGGGCGCAAUGCGCGCCACCCAUUGAAAGGGAAUUGGGUUAAUAUUCUUGAACCGGGACAUGGUAGUGGGUGGUAAUGCUGACAAAUCCAGAGACACUAGCGGGGGCCCCAAGAAGAGUUAUCUUUUCUUUUUAACGGCCUGCCGACCUUGAAAUUGGUUCAACCGAAGAUAGGGUCUCACGGCUGGUAGAGCACCGCACGUCCUGCGGUGUCCGGUGCGCCCCCGGCGGUCCUUGAAAAUCUAGAGAAGCGAGUGCUAAGCUUGCCCAGUCGUACUCAUAACCACAUCAAGUAUCAAAAGAUACUUGUU
This 425-nucleotide non-coding RNA is filed under the name Selaginella moellendorffii. RNAcentral's name for it is "rRNA LSU_rRNA_eukarya". It matches the Rfam family "Eukaryotic large subunit ribosomal RNA", at positions 1456 to 1881 of the family's 3401-position model. The record is from Rfam by way of RNAcentral. Lineage: Eukaryota; Viridiplantae; Streptophyta; Lycopodiopsida; Selaginellales; Selaginellaceae.